GACGGGUGAGUAACGCGUGGGUAACCUGCCCAUAAGUGGGGAAUAACAGUUGGAAACGACUGCUAAUACCGCAUAAGCUGAGCAAUCAGUAAAGGAGGCUUUUGCUUCCGCUUAUGGAUGGGCCCGCGUCUGAUUAGCUGGUUGGUGGGGUAAUGGCCUACCAAGGCAACGAUCAGUAGCCGGCCUGAGAGGGUGGACGGCCACACUGGGACUGAGACACGGCCCAGACUCCUACGGGAGGCAGCAGUGGGGAAUAUUGCGCAAUGGGGGAAACCCUGACGCAGCGACGCCGCGUGAGCGAAGAAGGCCUUAGGGUCGUAAAGCUCUGUUUUAAGGGACGAAUAUCCUUAGUAGUAACUGACUAAGGAAUGACGGUACCUUAAGAGAAAGCCCCGGCUAACUACGUGCCAGCAGCCGCGGUAAGACGUAGGGGGCGAGCGUUGUCCGGAAUUACUGGGCGUAAAGAGCACGUAGGCGGGAUUUUAAGUCAGGUGUGAAAGACCGUGGCUCAACCACGGGGUUGCACAUGAAACUGGAAUUCUUGAGGGCAGGAGAGGAAAGUGGAAUUCCUGGUGUAGCGGUGAAAUGCGUAGAAAUCAGGAGGAACACCGGUGGCGAAGGCGACUUUCUGGACUGACCCUGACGCUGAGGUGCGAAAGCGUGGGUAGCAAACAGGAUUAGAUACCCUGGUAGUCCACGCUGUAAACGAUGGAUACUAGGUGUGGGAGGUAUCGACCCCUUCCGUGCCGCAGCAAACGCAAUAAGUAUCCCGCCUGGGGAGUACGGUCGCAAGGCGUGAACUCAAGGAAUUGACGGGGCCCGCACAA
This 827-nucleotide ribosomal RNA is filed under the name uncultured bacterium. Its description in RNAcentral is "bacterial SSU rRNA". It matches the Rfam family "Bacterial small subunit ribosomal RNA", at positions 100 to 928 of the family's 1533-position model. The record is from RNAcentral.